RNAcentral lists this ribosomal RNA (301 nucleotides) under uncultured Lactobacillus sp. RNAcentral's name for it is "bacterial SSU rRNA". It matches the Rfam family "Bacterial small subunit ribosomal RNA", at positions 498 to 795 of the family's 1533-position model. The record is from RNAcentral. Lineage: Bacteria; Bacillati; Bacillota; Bacilli; Lactobacillales; Lactobacillaceae.
UUGUUGCGAGCGGGCAGCGGUCGGGGGAAGACGGAGGAGGCGAGCGUUGUUCGGAGGUACGGGGCGUAGAGGGGGGGUAGGCGGUUGGUUAAGUGUGGUGUGAAAUCUCCCGGCUCAACGGGGAGGGUGCGCCGAAUACUGAAUGACUAGAGUGCGGGAGAGGAAAGUGGAAUUCCUGGUGUAGCGGUGAAAUGCGUAGAUAUCAGGAGGAACACCGGUGGUGUAGACGGCUUUCUGGACCGUAACUGACGCUGAGACACGAAAGCGUGGGUAGCAAACAGGAUUAGAUACCCCGGUAGUC